RNAcentral lists this unclassified non-coding RNA (334 nucleotides) under soil metagenome. RNAcentral describes it as "partial contains 5.8S ribosomal RNA, internal transcribed spacer 2, and large subunit ribosomal RNA". The stretch from base 1 to 120 matches the Rfam family "5.8S ribosomal RNA", at positions 35 to 154 of the family's 154-position model. The record is from RNAcentral.
GAUGAAGAACGUAGCGAAAUGCGAUAAGUAAUGUGAAAUGCAGAAUUCAGUGAAUCAUCGAAUCUUUGAACGCACAUUGCGCCCGCCAGUAUUCUGGCGGGCAUGCCUGUUCGAGCGUCAUUUCAACCAUCAAGCCCCCGGCUUGUGUUGGGGACCUGCGGCUGCCGCAGGCCCUGAAAACCAGUGGCGGGCUCGCUAGUCACUCCGAGCGUAGUAAUACAUCUCGCUCAGGGCGUGCUGCGGGUUCCGGCCGUUAAAAGCCUUAUUUACCCAAGGUUGACCUCGGAUCAGGUAGGAAGACCCGCUGAACUUAAGCAUAUCAAUAAGCGGAGGA